Molecule: non-coding RNA, 333 nt
Filed under: Drosophila virilis
Lineage: Eukaryota; Metazoa; Arthropoda; Insecta; Diptera; Drosophilidae
Description: Eukaryotic large subunit ribosomal RNA
Rfam family: Eukaryotic large subunit ribosomal RNA
Source: Rfam by way of RNAcentral
UUAUGCCUGAACGCCUCUAAGGUCGUAUCCGUGCUGGACUGCAAUGAUAAAUAAGGGGCAAUUUGCAUUGUAUGGCUUCUAAACCAUUAAAAGUUUUUAAUUUGUUUUAUUAACGACAAUGGAUGUGAUGCCAAUGUUAUUUAUAACAUAGUAAAUUGGGAGGAUCUUCGAUCACCUGAUGCCGCGCUAGUUAUAUUUUAAAACAUUAUUUAAUACAAUGUCAAAGCCUAGAAUCAAUUGUAAACGACUUUUGUAACAGGCAAGGUGUUGUAAGUGGUUGAGCAGCUGCCAUACUGCGAUCCACUGAAGCUUAUCCUUUGCUUGAUGAUUCGA